CCGGGCUAGAAUUAUUUUCAGUAUGAUUUGGGUUAAUGAGUUGACUCGGGAAUGAACUCGGAGGUUUCAUAUGAAAUAAACAAAAUAGAUGAAACGAAAACAGCAAAUCAAGCAGAAUCAUCAGGUGACGGGGCAGGCAGAUUUGCGGCGGAUUACUGGGUGAGAAGAUCCAGAAUUUGCCGUCUCAUGGCAAUGGCGUAGAGGGAUCAAAGAAAGCAGAAAAUUUCAAACCAUUUUGACCCACCAUCAUCAAGCUUAAAACGAAGGCAGUGGUCAACUUCUAAAACAUGAAAUGAGGUUCUGGAAAAAGUUUCCAGCUAGGGUAACCCAAUUGAGAGGCGGGGGCAAUGGAUACUUGAUCGAGUGAUUUGGGGAAAAGGAAUCAUUCUCCAGGGAAUUGGAGCCGUGUGCAUAGAGAUGCUCAAGGCUCAGUGGAAGCUCUUCCCCUUCUAUACUCUUGUCUGCUUGGCCAACUUCCCAAAUCAAGCGAAUUCCACAUGAUUGUAGCUUUGCGGAUGGAGACUUCAACUCCUCUGAGAAUUGCAAAUCGGAUUUGAUGCCUAACUUGUUGAUUUGGUUGCUGAAGUUUUUUAACCCGCGGAUGAUAAGCAGGUGAUCUGAUUUAACAACUUCUUCCUCAUCUUCAGUGCUAGGGUCAGUACUAUGGAAAUCUGGUUUAAGGUAUAAACAAAAGUACCUUUCAUAUCCCCAAUCCCAGUCAUAAGAAAAUGGCGAGAAUUGUAUAUCAAAGGGCCUCUCGCAAGCAAUCACGACACAUGCAUCAAAACCCAGCAAUUUCGGGGACGGCCAAAUUUGGGGAAAGAAAGCGAAUCCCAGUGACUCCUAUUCGAGGACAACAACGAAAAGAAAAAAAGAUGGAGAAUGAUCAAGUUCAGGUUGUUUGCAGUGGAGUAAUGGAAGAAUAAGCUGGAAACAUACCUCUUCGUUUUCUCCCUCGUUGAGAAACUGAGCGAUCAGAUGUUCAUCCCGUUUUAAACCGAAACAAUGACUAAGAUCAAGGUGUUUUACAGAAUGGUUCAAAGGAAGGGAAACAGUUUCCAAGAUUUCACAGCCAUGGGCGUAGAGAGACUUGAGGCACAACGGAAGCCCUUCAAUCGAUUUGAGUUUCUUGCACUUAUUAAGGCAGAGAGUUCUCAAAGAGGAAAGCACUUCGAUGCUGGAUGGCAAUUUCUCAAAUUCAUGGCUGCUAAGAUCUAAAUAUGAUAGCUUGAUAAAAUGUCUAAGCUGAUCUAAAAUUGAUCGAAUGCUCUUGCAGCCAUCAACCCAAAGCUCAAGCCAUUGGAAUCUGCCACAGUCUUGUUCAGCAUAAGAAAGUUCCAACAAUGAUUGGAGGUUUAUACAGCCAGAGAGUUUGAUUGUCUCCAACUGAACCAGCGCUGGCAAUGCUUUGAGUCUGCAACAGUUACGAAAGCUGGCAUAUUUCAACCUGGGAAGUUGAUUCAUGGUUUCUGGUAAAGUCUCAAAAUCAUUGCCACUCCAGUCCAGUUUCUCUAGGAAUUUCAAGCCGCACACGUCAUCUGGGAUCACUUUAAUGUUUAGGUUGAUUAGAAUUAACUCUUUCACGCAGGGGAACAUCGAAAGGCUAAAACAGAGGAAACUUGCACCAUCACUGCUGUACCUGAACCUGCUGAUGUCUACUGAAGUAAAUCCAUGGAACUUGGAUGUGGGUUGAGAUUUUCCCUGUGCUUUCUUCACCGAUUCCUGACCAUGAAACUCUGGCAAGAACUGAAGUGCCUGCCGUGUCCUUGUAGAAAAUUCAAGAGCUUGUUGGUUAUCAGGCGCUAGCUGAUCCCUCUGCAUCAUCCAUUCAUGAUCAAGAAACUCUGAAGUGGCCUUAACUUUCCGUCCUUUCCUCAUAAGCGAUCCAAAACCACAUAAUAUUGUUUUUUUACGAGGUUCUUGUUGCUGCUCCCUCUUUGUCAAUUCACCAGGUGCUUGUUGCUUCUCUUUCUUUGUCAAUUUAUCAGGUCCUUGUUGCUCAGUAGUAAAACUGAGAUGAUCUACGUUGCCAUCAAGCCAAAACAUCUGAAUAUGUAUGUUUCCUCCAAUAGAUAGAUUUGCAAUGGACCUCGUUUCCACUUCUUUACCCGAGAAAUACAAAGCAAUUUGACGGCCGCUCCUAUUCAAUUCCCUUAUAGUGAUAUAACUAGCAAGCUCCUCACAGUAUGAGACAUCAAGCGUCGUCAAUCUAGUAAGGUAGCUGAUGGACUCUGGAAUUUUCUUCAGCCUCUUGCAGCCUUGAGUUAUCAAUUCCUCCAAAUUAACGGCCAUUGAAAGAUCUGGAAGUUGUUCCAGAUUUUCAGAAUCUGACAAGUCCAAUCUUCUCAAGUUUGGCAUCCCCUGAGCAUAUUCAACAAAGAAUAGGAAAAUUGCGAGAAUGUUAAGUACCAGAAGAUACAUUGUUAUAAGCAUAGAUCUGUUAAGAGCUUUUACCACGGUUUCUUUCCAGAAGCUUGUGAGAUUGCUGCGAUGUAGAAUGAUUUCAACAAGAUCUUGCGGCUGGAAUCGGCAAGGGAAGGUUGUCAAGGGAAAUGCGUCCCAAUGUAGUAACCUAAGCCUUGAUGAAAGUAGAUUUGUAUCGUCACCACUGAAAAGCAGCUUGGACUUAAUAUGGUUCGAGUGCUUGUAGAUCUUGAGGAAUUUGAGAGUAUCGUGGUACGCUGUAUACCCUCCCAGAUGCAAUGCAUAAACCAUGUCACACAUAUGUAGUGCCAUGCAAUUGGUUGGUUCGCUUGUCUGUGGGAUUAAAUACGAUAAAAUUAGUUGGCCUACGAACAAGCUUAGUGCAGAAACAACCAUGAACAACAACGAUGUUACAGAUAGACACUGUAAGUGCUUACCGUGUUACG
This 2870-nucleotide long non-coding RNA is filed under the name Arabidopsis thaliana (thale cress). RNAcentral describes it as "ncRNA (AT1G72855)". The record is from RNAcentral. Lineage: Eukaryota; Viridiplantae; Streptophyta; Magnoliopsida; Brassicales; Brassicaceae.